This 85-nucleotide transfer RNA is filed under the name Nodosilinea sp. LEGE 07088. RNAcentral's name for it is "tRNA-Tyr". It matches the Rfam family "tRNA". From Rfam's summary of the family: Transfer RNA (tRNA) molecules are approximately 80 nucleotides in length. Lineage: Bacteria; Bacillati; Cyanobacteriota; Cyanophyceae; Nodosilineales; Nodosilineaceae. The record is from RNAcentral.
AGGUCGGCUCGCCUACCGGUGGGGGCAACGGUCUGUAAAACCGCCGCUUAUUGCAUUGCUGGUUCAAGUCCAGCCCGACCUACCA